This 492-nucleotide ribosomal RNA is filed under the name uncultured bacterium. RNAcentral describes it as "partial 16S ribosomal RNA". It matches the Rfam family "Bacterial small subunit ribosomal RNA", at positions 29 to 507 of the family's 1533-position model. The record is from RNAcentral.
AGUGAACGCUGGCGGUAGGCCUAACACAUGCAAGUCGAACGGCAGCACAGUAAGAGCUUGCUCUUACGGGUGGCGAGUGGCGGACGGGUGAGGAAUACAUCGGAAUCUACUUUUUCGUGGGGGAUAACGUAGGGAAACUUACGCUAAUACCGCAUACGACCUACGGGUGAAAGCAGGGGAUCUUCGGACCUUGCGCGAUUGAAUGAGCCGAUGUCGGAUUAGCUAGUUGGCGGGGUAAAGGCCCACCAAGGCGACGAUCCGUAGCUGGUCGGAGAGGAUGAUCAGCCACACUGGAACUGAGACACGGUCCAGACUCCUACGGGAGGCAGCAGUGGGGAAUAUUGGACAAUGGGCGCAAGCCUGAUCCAGCCAUACCGCGUGGGUGAAGAAGGCCUUCGGGUUGUAAAGCCCUUUUGUUGGGAAAGAAAAGCGGCAGGUUAAUACCCCGCUGUUCUGACGGUACCCAAAGAAUAGGCACCGGCUAACUUCGUG